RNAcentral lists this ribosomal RNA (2480 nucleotides) under Escherichia coli. RNAcentral's name for it is "partial 23S ribosomal RNA". It matches the Rfam family "Bacterial large subunit ribosomal RNA", at positions 344 to 2813 of the family's 2925-position model. Lineage: Bacteria; Pseudomonadati; Pseudomonadota; Gammaproteobacteria; Enterobacterales; Enterobacteriaceae. The record is from RNAcentral.
GGAAAGGCGCGCGAUACAGGGUGACAGCCCCGUACACAAAAAUGCACAUGCUGUGAGCUCGAUGAGUAGGGCGGGACACGUGGUAUCCUGUCUGAAUAUGGGGGGACCAUCCUCCAAGGCUAAAUACUCCUGACUGACCGAUAGUGAACCAGUACCGUGAGGGAAAGGCGAAAAGAACCCCGGCGAGGGGAGUGAAAAAGAACCUGAAACCGUGUACGUACAAGCAGUGGGAGCACGCUUAGGCGUGUGACUGCGUACCUUUUGUAUAAUGGGUCAGCGACUUAUAUUCUGUAGCAAGGUUAACCGAAUAGGGGAGCCGAAGGGAAACCGAGUCUUAACUGGGCGUUAAGUUGCAGGGUAUAGACCCGAAACCCGGUGAUCUAGCCAUGGGCAGGUUGAAGGUUGGGUAACACUAACUGGAGGACCGAACCGACUAAUGUUGAAAAAUUAGCGGAUGACUUGUGGCUGGGGGUGAAAGGCCAAUCAAACCGGGAGAUAGCUGGUUCUCCCCGAAAGCUAUUUAGGUAGCGCCUCGUGAAUUCAUCUCCGGGGGUAGAGCACUGUUUCGGCAAGGGGGUCAUCCCGACUUACCAACCCGAUGCAAACUGCGAAUACCGGAGAAUGUUAUCACGGGAGACACACGGCGGGUGCUAACGUCCGUCGUGAAGAGGGAAACAACCCAGACCGCCAGCUAAGGUCCCAAAGUCAUGGUUAAGUGGGAAACGAUGUGGGAAGGCCCAGACAGCCAGGAUGUUGGCUUAGAAGCAGCCAUCAUUUAAAGAAAGCGUAAUAGCUCACUGGUCGAGUCGGCCUGCGCGGAAGAUGUAACGGGGCUAAACCAUGCACCGAAGCUGCGGCAGCGACACUAUGUGUUGUUGGGUAGGGGAGCGUUCUGUAAGCCUGUGAAGGUGUACUGUGAGGUAUGCUGGAGGUAUCAGAAGUGCGAAUGCUGACAUAAGUAACGAUAAAGCGGGUGAAAAGCCCGCUCGCCGGAAGACCAAGGGUUCCUGUCCAACGUUAAUCGGGGCAGGGUGAGUCGACCCCUAAGGCGAGGCCGAAAGGCGUAGUCGAUGGGAAACAGGUUAAUAUUCCUGUACUUGGUGUUACUGCGAAGGGGGGACGGAGAAGGCUAUGUUGGCCGGGCGACGGUUGUCCCGGUUUAAGCGUGUAGGCUGGUUUUCCAGGCAAAUCCGGAAAAUCAAGGCUGAGGCGUGAUGACGAGGCACUACGGUGCUGAAGCAACAAAUGCCCUGCUUCCAGGAAAAGCCUCUAAGCAUCAGGUAACAUCAAAUCGUACCCCAAACCGACACAGGUGGUCAGGUAGAGAAUACCAAGGCGCUUGAGAGAACUCGGGUGAAGGAACUAGGCAAAAUGGUGCCGUAACUUCGGGAGAAGGCACGCUGAUAUGUAGGUGAAGUCCCUCGCGGAUGGAGCUGAAAUCAGUCGAAGAUACCAGCUGGCUGCAACUGUUUAUUAAAAACACAGCACUGUGCAAACACGAAAGUGGACGUAUACGGUGUGACGCCUGCCCGGUGCCGGAAGGUUAAUUGAUGGGGUCAGCGCAAGCGAAGCUCUUGAUCGAAGCCCCGGUAAACGGCGGCCGUAACUAUAACGGUCCUAAGGUAGCGAAAUUCCUUGUCGGGUAAGUUCCGACCUGCACGAAUGGCGUAAUGAUGGCCAGGCUGUCUCCACCCGAGACUCAGUGAAAUUGAACUCGCUGUGAAGAUGCAGUGUACCCGCGGCAAGACGGAAAGACCCCGUGAACCUUUACUAUAGCUUGACACUGAACAUUGAGCCUUGAUGUGUAGGAUAGGUGGGAGGCUUUGAAGUGUGGACGCCAGUCUGCAUGGAGCCGACCUUGAAAUACCACCCUUUAAUGUUUGAUGUUCUAACGUUGACCCGUGAUCCGGGUUGCGGACAGUGUCUGGUGGGUAGUUUGACUGGGGCGGUCUCCUCCUAAAGAGUAACGGAGGAGCACGAAGGUUGGCUAAUCCUGGUCGGACAUCAGGAGGUUAGUGCAAUGGCAUAAGCCAGCUUGACUGCGAGCGUGACGGCGCGAGCAGGUGCGAAAGCAGGUCAUAGUGAUCCGGUGGUUCUGAAUGGAAGGGCCAUCGCUCAACGGAUAAAAGGUACUCCGGGGAUAACAGGCUGAUACCGCCCAAGAGUUCAUAUCGACGGCGGUGUUUGGCACCUCGAUGUCGGCUCAUCACAUCCUGGGGCUGAAGUAGGUCCCAAGGGUAUGGCUGUUCGCCAUUUAAAGUGGUACGCGAGCUGGGUUUAGAACGUCGUGAGACAGUUCGGUCCCUAUCUGCCGUGGGCGCUGGAGAACUGAGGGGGGCUGCUCCUAGUACGAGAGGACCGGAGUGGACGCAUCACUGGUGUUCGGGUUGUCAUGCCAAUGGCACUGCCCGGUAGCUAAAUGCGGAAGAGAUAAGUGCUGAAAGCAUCUAAGCACGAAACUUGCCCCGAGAUGAGUUCUC